RNAcentral lists this ribosomal RNA (529 nucleotides) under uncultured bacterium. RNAcentral describes it as "bacterial SSU rRNA". It matches the Rfam family "Bacterial small subunit ribosomal RNA", at positions 1 to 518 of the family's 1533-position model. The record is from RNAcentral.
CCUUGGGUCUCAGAGAGUUUGAUCCUGGCUUAGGAUGAACGCUAGCGGCAGGCCUAACACAUGCAAGUCGCGGGGCAGCACGGGUAGCAAUACCUGGUGGCGACCGGCGCACGGGUGCGUAACGCGUAUGCAACCUGCCCCCAUCAGGGGAAUAGCCCGCCGAAAGGCGGAUUAAUGCCCCAUAGGCCCAGGGCGCCGCAUGGCGCUAUGGGUAAAGCUCCGGCGGAUGGGGAUGGGCAUGCGUGCCAUUAGCUAGUUGGGGCGGUAACGGCGCACCAAGGCGACGAUGGCUAGGGGGUCUGAGAGGAUGGUCCCCCACACUGGUACUGAGACACGGACCAGACUCCUACGGGAGGCAGCAGUGAGGAAUAUUGGUCAAUGGGCGGAAGCCUGAACCAGCCAAUGCCGCGUGCAGGAUGACGGCCCUACGGGUUGUAAACUGCUUUUCCCCGGGAAGAAUAAGCCCCUCGUGAGGGGUGAUGCCGGUACCGGGGGAAUAAGGAUCGGCUAACUCCGUGCCAGCCGCCGC